Molecule: ribosomal RNA, 253 nt
Filed under: uncultured bacterium
Lineage: Bacteria
Description: partial 16S ribosomal RNA
Rfam family: Bacterial small subunit ribosomal RNA
Source: RNAcentral
UACGUAGGGUGCAAGCGUUGUCCGGAAUUAUUGGGCGUAAAGGGCUCGUAGGCGGUUCGUCACGUCGGGAGUGAAAACUCGGGGCUUAACCCCGAGCCUGCUUCCGAUACGGGCAGACUAGAGGUAGGCAGGGGAGAGCGGAACUCCUGGUGUAGCGGUGGAAUGCGCAGAUAUCAGGAGGAACACCGGUGGCGAAGGCGGUUCUCUGGGCAUGUCCUGACGCUGAGGAGCGAAAGUGUGGGGAGCGAACAGG